This 374-nucleotide ribosomal RNA is filed under the name uncultured organism. Its description in RNAcentral is "partial 16S ribosomal RNA". It matches the Rfam family "Bacterial small subunit ribosomal RNA", at positions 527 to 896 of the family's 1533-position model. The record is from RNAcentral.
GUAGGUGGCAAGCGUUGUCCGGAAUUAUUGGGCGUAAAGCGCGCGCAGGCGGUUCUUUGAGUCUGAUGUGAAAGCCCACGGCUCAACCGUGGAGGGUCAUUGGAAACUGGAGAACUUGAGUACAGAAGAGGAAAGCGGAAUUCCACGUGUAGCGGUGAAAUGCGUAGAGAUGUGGAGGAACACCAGUGGCGAAGGCGGCUUUCUGGUCUGUAACUGACGCUGAGGCGCGAAAGCGUGGGGAGCAAACAGGAUUAGAUACCCUGGUAGUCCACGCCGUAAACGAUGAGUGCUAAGUGUUAGGGGGGUUUUCCGCCCCCCUUAGUGCUGCAGCUAACGCAUUAAGCACUCCGCCUGGGAGUACGGCCGCAAGGCUG